GAUGAAGAACGUAUCGAAAUGCGAUAAGUAAUGUGAAUUGCAGAAUUCAGUGAAUCAUCGAAUCUUUGAACGCACCUUGCGCUCCUUGGUAUUCCGAGGAGCAUGCCUGUUUGAGUGUCAUUAAUAUAUCAACCUCCUCUUUUUUGAGUUGUUUGGAUGUGGGGGUUUGCUGGCCUCUUAAAUGAUUCAGCUCCCCUGAAAUGCAUUAGCAGAACAACCUGUUCAUUAGCGUGAUAAUUAUCUAUGCUAUUGAAUGUGAGGGCAGUUCAGCUUUCUAACCGUCCUUGGACAAUUCAUCAUUAAUGUGACCUCAAAUCAGGUAGGACUACCCGCUGAACUUAAGCAUAUCAAUAAGCGGAGGA
This 362-nucleotide unclassified non-coding RNA is filed under the name soil metagenome. RNAcentral's name for it is "partial contains 5.8S ribosomal RNA, internal transcribed spacer 2, and large subunit ribosomal RNA". The stretch from base 1 to 120 matches the Rfam family "5.8S ribosomal RNA", at positions 35 to 154 of the family's 154-position model. The record is from RNAcentral.